RNAcentral lists this ribosomal RNA (253 nucleotides) under uncultured bacterium. RNAcentral describes it as "partial 16S ribosomal RNA". It matches the Rfam family "Bacterial small subunit ribosomal RNA", at positions 524 to 776 of the family's 1533-position model. The record is from RNAcentral.
UACGGAGGGAGCUAGCGUUGUUCGGAAUUACUGGGCGUAAAGCGCGCGUAGGCGGCUUUGUAAGUUAGAGGUGAAAGCCCGGGGCUCAACCCCGGAACUGCCUUUAAGACUGCAUCGCUUGAAUCCGGGAGAGGUGAGUGGAAUUCCGAGUGUAGAGGUGAAAUUCGUAGAUAUUCGGAGGAACACCGGUGGCGAAGGCGGCUUCCUGGACCGACACUGACGCUGAGGCGCGAAAGCUAGGGGAGCAAACGGG